UCGAGAAUCUUCCGCAAUGGACGAAAGUCUGACGGAGCGACGCCGCGUGAUGGAUGAAGUCCCUCUGGGACGUAAACAUCUUUUAUGAGGGAGAAAGUUUAUUGAUAGUACCUCACGAAUAAGGGGUUGCUAAACUCGUGCCAGCAGCAGCGGUAAUACGAGUGCCCCGAGCGUUAUCCGGAAUCAUUGGGCGUAAAGGGUGUGUAGGUGGCAUUGUUAGUCACACGUUAAACCCUGGGGCUUAACCCCAGAUCUGCGUGUGAUACGGCAAAGCUAGAGGAUGGCAGGGAUGUAUGGAACUCAUGGAGUAGGGGUGAAAUCCGUUGAUAUCAUGGGGAACACCGAAAGCGAAGGCAGUACAUUGGGCCACUCCUGACACUGAAACACGAAAGCGUGGGUAGCGAAUGGGAUUAGAUACCCUUGUAGUCCCUGAGCGGGCUGGCAAGGCGCAU
Molecule: ribosomal RNA, 452 nt
Filed under: uncultured bacterium
Lineage: Bacteria
Description: bacterial SSU rRNA
Rfam family: Bacterial small subunit ribosomal RNA
Source: RNAcentral